AGCAUGUGGUUUAAUUCGAUGAUACGCGAGGAACCUUACCUGGGCUCAAAUGUAUGUUGACGUAUCUGAAAGGGAUACUUCUUCGGACAAUAUACAAGGUGCUGCAUGGUUGUCGUCAGCUCGUGCCGUGAGGUGUCGGGUUAAGUCCCGCAACGAGCGCAACCCCUAUCAUCUGUUGCCAGCAUUUAAGGUGGGGACUCAGAUGAGACUGCCGGUGACAAACCGGAGGAAGGUGGGGACGACGUCAAGUCAUCAUGGCCCUUAUGUCCUGGGCUACACACGUGCUACAAUGGCCGGUACAGAGUGAAGCGAAACCGCGAGGUGAAGCAAAACGCAGAAAGCCGGUCUCAGUACGGAUUGGAGUCUGAAACUCGACUUCAUGAAGUUGGAAUCGCUAGUAAUCGCGCAUCAGCAUGGCGCGGUGAAUACGUUCCCGGGCCUU
Molecule: ribosomal RNA, 442 nt
Filed under: uncultured Spirochaeta sp.
Lineage: Bacteria; Pseudomonadati; Spirochaetota; Spirochaetia; Spirochaetales; Spirochaetaceae
Description: bacterial SSU rRNA
Rfam family: Bacterial small subunit ribosomal RNA
Source: RNAcentral